This is a long non-coding RNA of Macadamia integrifolia, 418 nucleotides long. RefSeq lists it as uncharacterized. Lineage: Eukaryota; Viridiplantae; Streptophyta; Magnoliopsida; Proteales; Proteaceae. The record is from RefSeq and is a predicted model, not a curated record. The transcript is spliced from 2 exons.
GCGAUUCUCCCCUCCUCCGGCGUGCGAUUCUUUAUACUGCAAAGGUUCCCAGAACUAUCCCAGACAACCUUGGACACAAGUAAAAUCCAAUACAAUAGGGACGUAGGGCAAGCAAUCUUAGAGAGCUACUCAAGAGUAUUGGAAGGUUUAGCAUUCAAUAUUGUCACAUGGUUAGAGGGCGUGCUAUCGGCAGACAGGUUAAUGAAACACCAAGUUCAGAGGAAACCAUGAAGGAGUUUGAUUCUAAAGAUGAAAUCUAAGUCCAGUUCUCUUCUCCAAACCUCAAUUUUGUAUAUUAAGAGAUUUCUCUUCUUAUAAGCAUCAAAAGGGGAACAUUCAAAUGUAUAACAAUCUGCAGAGUUAGUUGUAAUUGUACCUGGAUAGAAAACGAUCAAGGCUGAGAAAUUUUAAGAUUAAA